Long non-coding RNA from Amphimedon queenslandica, 385 nucleotides. RefSeq lists it as uncharacterized. Lineage: Eukaryota; Metazoa; Porifera; Demospongiae; Haplosclerida; Niphatidae. The record is from RefSeq and is a predicted model, not a curated record. The transcript has 2 exons.
AUUAUUUAGCUAAGAUGGUAGUUUACUUCUCUGCAAAGACAGAAUUGAAAAAUCUUGCGUUGUAGUCUCUUGCCGUUACUGUCAAAACAAGGCCCUCGAGGAAUACCGUAUAUCCCAAUUAUUCGUUUAAUUAAUUAAUUUGUAUUAUUAUUUAUUAUAUUUAUAGUGCAAGAUACAUCCAAGCUUAUUCUGUUUUUGGAACUAUACUGUUGUGGACUAAAAGUUUAUCAAAUAAAACCGGGACUUUAAGACUCUUCAUUUUUUACAGUGUACACCCAAACUCAGCAUAAAGACCCACUCAGACACACAAGAGGUGAAGGAUACUGUUAUUAAUGGAUAAAGAGGAGCAGCAGCAGUCAGUAGGUAGUGUAGGAUCUGUUGUUAG